AAUAGAUACCCCGGUAGUCCACGCCGUAAACGAUGGAUGCUAGCUGUUAUGAGUAUCGACCCUUGUAGUAGCGAAGCUAACGCGUUAAGCAUCCCGCCUGUGGAGUACGAGCGCAAGCUUAAAACAUAAAGGAAUUGACGGGGACCCGCACAAGCGGUGGAGCGUGUUGUUUAAUUCGAUGAUAAACGAAGAACCUUACCAAGGCUUGACAUCCCUGGAAGGUCUCCGAAAGGAGACUGUGCCUUCGGGAAUCAGGUGACAGGUGAUGCAUGGCCGUCGUCAGCUCGUGUCGUGAGAUGUUUGGUUAAGUCCAUCAACGAGCGCAACCCUUAUAAAUAGUUGAAUUUUUCUAUUUAGACUGCCUCGGUAACGGGGAGGAAGGAGGGGAUGACGUCAGGUCAGUAUUUCCCUUAUGCCUUGGGCUACAAACACGCUACAAUGGCCGGUACAAAGGGCAGCCAACCCGCGAGGGGGAGCAAAUCCCAUCAAAACCGGUCCCAGUUCGGAUAGCAGGCUGAAACUCGCCUGCUUGAAGUCGGAAUCGCUAGUAACGGU
This 555-nucleotide ribosomal RNA is filed under the name uncultured bacterium. Its description in RNAcentral is "bacterial SSU rRNA". It matches the Rfam family "Bacterial small subunit ribosomal RNA", at positions 777 to 1345 of the family's 1533-position model. The record is from RNAcentral.